Molecule: unclassified non-coding RNA, 229 nt
Filed under: plant metagenome
Description: partial contains small subunit ribosomal RNA, internal transcribed spacer 1, and 5.8S ribosomal RNA
Source: RNAcentral
UCUCCGUAGGUGAACCUGCGGAGGGAUCAUUACAGAGUUCUCGCCCUCGCGGGUAGAUCUCCCACCCACUGUUAUCGUUACUGUGUUGCUUUGGCGGGCCGCCGGGCCCCGCUCGGCCGCCGGCUCCGGCUGGCGCGCGCCCGCCAGAGGCCCAGCAAACUCUGAAUGCUAGUGUCGUCUGAGUACUAUAUAAUAGUUAAAACUUUCAACAACGGAUCUCUUGGUUCUG